This 447-nucleotide ribosomal RNA is filed under the name uncultured bacterium. RNAcentral describes it as "bacterial SSU rRNA". It matches the Rfam family "Bacterial small subunit ribosomal RNA", at positions 355 to 825 of the family's 1533-position model. The record is from RNAcentral.
UGGGGAAUUUUGGACAAUGGGGGCAACCCUGAUCCAGCAACGCCGCGUGAAGGAUGAAGUAUUUCGGUAUGUAAACUUCGAAAGAAUAGGAAGAAUAAAUGACGGUACUAUUUAUAAGGUCCGGCUAACUACGUGCCAGCAGCCGCGGUAAUACGUAGGGACCAAGCGUUGUUCGGAUUUACUGGGCGUAAAGGGCGCGUAGGCGGCAAUUCAAGUCAUCUGUGAAAUCUCCGGGCUUAACUCGGAACGGUCAGAUGAUACUGCUUUGCUAGAGUGCAGAAGGGGCAAUCGGAAUUCUUGGUGUAGCGGUGAAAUGCGUAGAUAUCAAGAGGAACACCUGAGGUGAAGACGGGUUGCUGGGCUGACACUGACGCUGAGGCGCGAAAGCCAGGGGAGCAAACGGGAUUAGAUACCCAAGUAGUCCCUGAGCGGGCUGGCAAGGCGCAU